RNAcentral lists this long non-coding RNA (1107 nucleotides) under Piliocolobus tephrosceles (Ugandan red Colobus). RNAcentral describes it as "lncRNA (ENSPTEG00000028560.1)". The record is from RNAcentral. Lineage: Eukaryota; Metazoa; Chordata; Mammalia; Primates; Cercopithecidae.
AUGAUAAAAAAAUUGUACAAAAUAUCCACUUGUAACGCAAAAAAAAAAAGCUACUUAAAAAUAUCCAAUAAAAUCAUUAUUCUAUAUAGUAAAUUGCUGAUAAAAAAAAAGUUUACAAGAAUUUAUAGCAUACUUAUUGUUUGCUUUAUUGCGAGGAGAUGGACCAAUAACAACAAAGAUCGAUUAAAAAAAAUACUAAAAACAAAAUAUGGUGGAUCAACCGCUCAACAUGAUACUGUACCAAUUAGUGAAUAUUAUAAAAAUGUUUCUAUUUUAUUAAGUGAUAUUAAAAAAAAACUAAUUAAAAUGCUAGCUAACCAAUAUAAUCCUCGAAUAAUUAAUAUACUAAUAAAAAAUAAAAACAUACAACAAAAAGAUCUGCUACAAAUAUAUGAUCAUUUUAAACACAUAAUGUCAAGUGACGAGUAUUUACAAAUUUUGCAUCAAAGUUGUAAGUCGUUAAAAUAUAAAAGUUUAGGUUACAAUGAUCAUGCUAAAAUAUACUACAACUCGCUGUUAUACUUACUAGAUACAUAUUUCUUUCUUACCAAUAGUAAAAAAGACUUUAAACGAAGCUAUAUACAAGUACAACAGACUAACCAAAAACAACUGUCAUUUAAAAAAAAAGGGAAAUUCAAAUUCAAAGCAAAAUAUUUAAAUAUAUUUAAACUUAGUGCACAAAUAGAUAAACAUUUUAGAACUAAAUUACUUGAAAAAAUGAUAAAAGAAAAAAUAUAUCCAGAUAUGAAAUUACCAUGUAAAGAAAGUCUUAAUUUUUUUGCUUAUACAUUCUAUGUUCCAACAAUAGUAAUGAUAAUUUUAAUUUUCACAAUAUCUACUGCGUCACCUGAUUUUAUAAUCAUGGUACUAAUACUGUAUUUAUGUACAUAUGCGCAAUCCAUGUAUAAAAUUUAUAGAAACAUUAAGUUUAUAAAUCGAAUUAUACAAGGGUCACCACUAUCAAACAGAGAGUAUUUUAUUUAAAAGUAAAAAUAUGUUAAAAACGUGAAAACACAGUGAAAUAUUUUUAGAAUAUAACUUUUUUUUUUUUUUUUUUUUUUUUUUGUUGUUAAAAUAAAUAUGUUAUUUUUUUUUUUUGAUGCUCCA